Molecule: non-coding RNA, 34 nt
Filed under: Actinoplanes sp. SE50/110
Lineage: Bacteria; Bacillati; Actinomycetota; Actinomycetes; Micromonosporales; Micromonosporaceae
Source: RNAcentral
AUCUUGAGGAUCGCGUCGAUCAGCAUCUCCGGCC